UCCGGUUUGGCACCGGCAGUCCUCCCAGAGUCCUCGGCAUGACCCGGUAGCAACUGGGAGCGGGGGUUGCGCUCGUUGCGGGACUUAACCCAACAUCUCACGGCACGAGCUGACGACAGCCAUGCACCACCUGUGCAGGCUCCGUAGAGCGCCGGCUUUCACCGGCUUUGCCCUGCAUGUCAAGCCCAGGUAAGGUUCUUCGCGUUGCAUCGAAUUAAUCCGCAUGCUCCACCGCUUGUGCGGGCCCCCGUCAAUUCCUUUGAGUUUUAAUCUUGCGACCGUACUCCCCAGGCGGGGUGCUUAAUGCGUUAGCUGCGGCACGGAAUCCGUCGAUAGGACCCCACACCUAGUGCCCAACGUUUACGGCGUGGACUAC
RNAcentral lists this unclassified non-coding RNA (376 nucleotides) under uncultured bacterium. RNAcentral describes it as "contains 16S-23S intergenic spacer region". The record is from RNAcentral.